GAAACUGAGGCACAAAGAAGUGACACGUCUUACUCAAGUCAUUGUCAGAGGUAGGAUUCUCAUCCCUUCUUUUUGUUACCUCAAGCCCUUGAAUCCCAGCUAUAACCAAUCUUGCCCUUCAAAACACAAGCUAUCCCUUCAGGUUCAGUCCUCAGCUGCAGUGUGGGGUUUGGGCAGCUCUGCAGCUGUGCAAACAGCCCACAAGGCACUCCCCAGAAGCGGCUGCAUCUCCACGUGGGACUAAAGGUUAAAUCCACCCCGCGCGCUGCCCAGAGUCUCCGAGGCAAGGCGCACGAAGGUGCCAGUGCCUCGACCCGGAGCUCUACGUACUCUUUACUCUGCCUAUGUGUGACUCAUCUGAAAUCCUGGCCAAUCCCAUUUGGAAAGAACAAGGAGCUAGGGGAGGGCCACAAUCUUUUUCCAGGGGAUUAUUAUUAGCAGAGGCAACAAUGCCCCUAAUGACUCAGAGACUGACUGGGCCUGCCCAAGGAGUGUGCCAGGAAGCCAACGAGUCGCGGGGCCGGCACACACUACUCAGCAAAUAAUUACUUUGGAAAGGAAGCAAGUCCCAGGGAGGAGUGGCCAGACCUAGGACUCCAGCGGGCUGCCUAGUGAAGUCCGAGGCAAUUUCUGCAACCCAGGGGUCCCUUUUAAUACCUCCCGGGGUUCUGACUUUGAAAGAGGCACAGUCCUUCUGAUCUAUUUCUCUCCCUCCUCCCCAAUUAUACAUCAUCUGUGCCAAAGUGAUUUCCUUUUUUAGUUUUGGACAGCGCCCCCUCCUCCGCCCGUGCAAUAAGGUAUCCCACCAGCCCAACCAGAGUGCUCUAAGAAUGGAAAGAGCACCGAAUUUGGAAUCAGAAGACUUGAGUGUGACUUUCAACUCCGCAACAUCUAUGUGAUCCAGGAUAAAUCCCUUCAGUGUCUCUGUGCCUCGUUUAUCAAAUAAGGAAGAUAAACUCUAAGAUCCCUAUCACUAUAUAGAAAUCUUAAGAACCUUCUCAUUUUACCAAGUCCAGAAAAUUUUCAAAUGUCACACAGCCAAAAUUAAAAUUUUGAUUUUAAAUAACUCUAAAAAUAACUCUGUGGAGACAAAAUAGUGGUCCAGAUGUGAAAAGAGCUUAAUUUUAGGUUUUAAGUUCUUGGCUUUAAGUAGCCAAGAGACUGCUUUGUGAGACUGGGAUAAAUUGGGUCUCCUUCUUUCAAUUUGUUUUACAAGUAUUUAUUAAGCAAGCCCUUUAUAUGUGCCAGGUGCUGGGGAUACAAAGAUAAAGUCACAGUAGUCCCUGUCCUCAAUGAAUUUACAAUCAACAAGUCUAAGAAUAAGAAUGAUGACAUUUCACUUUUAUAUUGUAUUUUAAAGUUUGCAACACAUUCCACUUAAAUGACCAACUUGCAGAAUUGAUAGCCUAAGUUUUAUUAGACCUAUUUUAAAAGAUGCAGAAACAGGUUCAGAAAAGUUAAGUGACUCAUUCAUGAUUACACAGUAAACGUCAGAGUUGGAAAUCUUUGCAAACUGGAGACUUUGGAUAAGUUCAUUGUGUGACCUUGGAUAAGUCAUCAGUUCUGGAUCUCCUGAUUCUUCAUCUAUCCCAUUUUCCAUUAUUCAGGCUAACUGAAUGUGAUUGUAUCUCUGUGUACUAGUUAGCUUUAGGGCUGUUGUUCCUUUAUUUAAAAGGUCACUGGUGUUGAUUCAAAAUUUUAAAAUUGAUUUGCCUCAAAUUUACACAGUUCAGUAUAUGCCAUAUGUUGAUUAUCAUCAAUCAACAAACAUUUGUGAAACACCUACUGUGUGCCAGACACUUUGUUAAGUGCUGGGGAUACAAAGGUAGGAAUAUUAGGAAUCUCAAAGUUGAUAAACACUUUGUAAAAUAAAGCAUUAUAUAAAUGUAUUAUCACUAUUAUUAGCCUAUGGUUACCAGGCUGCCAGUCUGAAGAUGACUUCAUUCCCUGAGUUUUCUAAUGUACUCCUGCUGAGCUUAAGCAAUGUUUAUACAGCAAUACAAGGUACUGGUCAAUAUUUAACAACUGGCUGGGGCUGUGUGGUGGAAAUGUACUGCAGAUCACAAUUAUAAGUUAAAUUUACAUUAUUAAAAUUUUCUCCAUCACUUUUUAGAAAUAAAAAUACGUAUAUAACUUGGCAGCUAGAUGACUCAGUGAACUGUCCUCAGAUACUUACUAUCUAUAUGAUCCUGGGCAAGUCACUUAAUCUUGUUUGCCUCAGUUCUUCAACUGUAAAAUGAGGUGGAAAAGGAAAUGAUAGUAUCUUCACUAUGACAUUUUUAAAAGUUUGAGAGAUGUAAUUUCCAGGUAAUUAAUCAUUAUAUUAAUAAUGUUAGCAUUUUGUUAAUAAAAGAGGUCGGUGUCAUUCUCAAAUGCCAGAGACCCCUCAUGGUGGUAGAUUCACAGUUUAGAUGUCCUUGGAAGAGUGGGUGUUCCUAAGGGUGGCAAUCAACUCUGAUUAACUCUGAAUGAGAGGCAGACUUUAUAAAGAGAAAUGAGGUCACUCUAAUGAGGGACUUUGAGAGUGACAUUAUGUCACUUUUGUACAAAGAGAUUAUUUCUACACCCAGAUCACCCCUAGAACUGGGCACUCUAGACAAAGGAUCUAUCUCCACUCAAACUAGCUUUAGUGGAAUAAAAUGGACAGGAAUUUACCUUGUAAGGCUGAGUGCGGUCUGACCAUGAUUAAAGAGAAACUUAAUUCAACCUUCAAAAAGUGAGUUUUUAAGAUGAG
Molecule: long non-coding RNA, 2734 nt
Filed under: Sarcophilus harrisii (Tasmanian devil)
Lineage: Eukaryota; Metazoa; Chordata; Mammalia; Dasyuromorphia; Dasyuridae
Description: lncRNA (ENSSHAG00000028421.1)
Source: RNAcentral